GGGGCAACACGAGUAGCAAUACUUGGUGGCGACCGGCGCAAGGGUGCGUAACGCGUGAGCAACAUGCCCGUAUCAGGGGGAUAAUCCAGGGAAACUUGGUCUAAUACCCCAUAAUAAUUAUUAGAGGCCUCUUUAAUAAUUUAAAGCUAAGGUGGAUACGGGAUUGGCUCGCGUGACAUUAGCCAGAUGGUAAGGUAACGGCUUACCAUAGCUAUGAUGUCUAGGGGUUCUGAGAGGAAGGUCCCCCACACUGGAACUGAGACACGGUCCAGACUCCUACGGGAGGCAGCAGUGAGGAAUAUUGGACAAUGGAUGGAAAUCUGAUCCAGCCAUGCCGCGUGCAGGAAGACGGUCCUAUGGAUUGUAAACUGCUUUUGUAUGGGAGCAAUAAGGUCCACGCGUGGAUUGAUGAGAGUACCAUACGAAUAAGCAUCGGCUAACUCCGUG
RNAcentral lists this ribosomal RNA (447 nucleotides) under uncultured bacterium. RNAcentral describes it as "bacterial SSU rRNA". It matches the Rfam family "Bacterial small subunit ribosomal RNA", at positions 66 to 507 of the family's 1533-position model. The record is from RNAcentral.